This 71-nucleotide transfer RNA is filed under the name Marmota monax (woodchuck). RNAcentral describes it as "tRNA.Ala". Lineage: Eukaryota; Metazoa; Chordata; Mammalia; Rodentia; Sciuridae. The record is from RNAcentral.
GAGGUUGUGGCUCAGUGGUAGAGCGCUUGCCUUGCAUGUGUGAGGAACCAAGUUCUAUCCUUAGCACCACA